RNAcentral lists this ribosomal RNA (752 nucleotides) under uncultured bacterium. Its description in RNAcentral is "bacterial SSU rRNA". It matches the Rfam family "Bacterial small subunit ribosomal RNA", at positions 33 to 764 of the family's 1533-position model. The record is from RNAcentral.
ACGCUGGCGGCGUGCCUAACACAUGCAAGUCGUGCGAGAAAGUUCCCUUCGGGGAGCGAGUAGAGCGGCGCACGGGUGAGUAACGCGUGGGUAAUCUGCCCGAAAGCCUGGGAUAACAGUGGGAAACCGCUGCUAAUACCGGAUGAUCUUCAUGUUUGACUUCAUGGGGUAAAGGUGGCCUCUGCUUGCAAGCUACCGCUUUUGGAUGAGCCCGCGUCUCAUUAGCUAGUUGGCGGGGUAACGGCCCACCAAGGCGACGAUGAGUAGCUGGUCUGAGAGGAUGAUCAGCCACACUGGGACUGGAACACGGCCCAGACUCCUACGGGAGGCAGCAGUGGGGAAUAUUGCGCAAUGGGCGAAAGCCUGACGCAGCGACGCCGCGUGAGGGAAGAAGGCUUUCGGGUCGUAAACCUCUGUCAGGAGGGAAGAAACCCUUGGGGUCCAAUAGGCCCCUUGGCUGACGGUACCUCCAGAGGAAGCACCGGCUAACUCCGUGCCAGCAGCCGCGGUAAUACGGAGGGUGCGAGCGUUAAUCGGAAUCACUGGGCGUAAAGCGCGCGUAGGCGGCGGCACAAGUCAGAUGUGAAAGCCCUCGGCUCAACCGAGGAAUUGCAUUUGAAACUGUGCUGCUGGAGUAUCGGAGAGGGUGGCGGAAUUCCAGGUGUAGGGGUGAAAUCCGUAGAUAUCUGGAGGAACACCAGUGGCGAAAGCGGCCACCUGGACUAAGACUGACACUGAGUGCGAAAGCGUGG